This 385-nucleotide ribosomal RNA is filed under the name uncultured bacterium. RNAcentral describes it as "bacterial SSU rRNA". It matches the Rfam family "Bacterial small subunit ribosomal RNA", at positions 30 to 416 of the family's 1533-position model. The record is from RNAcentral.
AUUGAACGCUGGCGGCAUGCCUUACACAUGCAAGUCGAACGGCAGCGGACCUUCGGGUGCCGGCGAGUGGCGAACGGGUGAGUAAUAUAUCGGAACGUACCUUUCAGUGGGGGAUAACGUAGCGAAAGUUACGCUAAUACCGCAUAUUCUGUGAGCAGGAAAGCAGGGGAUCGCAAGACCUUGCGCUGAUUGAGCGGCCGAUAUCAGAUUAGCUAGUUGGUGAGGUAAAGGCUCACCAAGGCGACGAUCUGUAGCGGGUCUGAGAGGAUGAUUCCGCCACACUGGAACUGAGACACGGUCCAGACUCCUACGGGAGGCAGCAGUGGGGAAUUUUGGACAAUGGGCGCAAGCCUGAUCCAGCCAUGCCGCGUGAGUGAAGAAGGCC